AAAUUGAAGAGUUUGAUCAUGGCUCAGAUUGAACGCUGGCGGCAGGCCUAACACAUGCAAGUCGAGCGGUAGCACAGAGAGCUUGCUCUCGGGUGACGAGCGGCGGACGGGUGAGUAAUGUCUGGGAAACUGCCUGAUGGAGGGGGAUAACUACUGGAAACGGUAGCUAAUACCGCAUAACGUCGCAAGACCAAAGUGGGGGACCUUCGGGCCUCAUGCCAUCAGAUGUGCCCAGAUGGGAUUAGCUAGUAGGUGGGGUAACGGCUCACCUAGGCGACGAUCCCUAGCUGGUCUGAGAGGAUGACCAGCCACACUGGAACUGAGACACGGUCCAGACUCCUACGGGAGGCAGCAGUGGGGAAUAUUGCACAAUGGGCGCAAGCCUGAUGCAGCCAUGCCGCGUGUGUGAAGAAGGCCUUCGGGUUGUAAAGCACUUUCAGCGGGGAGGAAGGCGAUAAGGUUAAUAACCUUGUCGAUUGACGUUACCCGCAGAAGAAGCACCGGCUAACUCCGUGCCAGCAGCCGCGGUAAUACGGAGGGUGCAAGCGUUAAUCGGAAUUACUGGGCGUAAAGCGCACGCAGGCGGUCUGUCAAGUCGGAUGUGAAAUCCCCGGGCUUAACCUGGGAACUGCAUUCGAAACUGGCAGGCUAGAGUCUUGUAGAGGGGGGUAGAAUUCCAGGUGUAGCGGUGAAAUGCGUAGAGAUCUGGAGGAAUACCGGUGGCGAAGGCGGCCCCCUGGACAAAGACUGACGCUCAGGUGCGAAAGCGUGGGGAGCAAACAGGAUUAGAUACCCUGGUAGUCCACGCCGUAAACGAUGUCGAUUUGGAGGUUGUGCCCUUGAGGCGUGGCUUCCGGAGCUAACGCGUUAAAUCGACCGCCUGGGGAGUACGGCCGCAAGGUUAAAACUCAAAUGAAUUGACGGGGGCCCGCACAAGCGGUGGAGCAUGUGGUUUAAUUCGAUGCAACGCGAAGAACCUUACCUGGUCUUGACAUCCACAGAACUUUCCAGAGAUGGAUUGGUGCCUUCGGGAACUGUGAGACAGGUGCUGCAUGGCUGUCGUCAGCUCGUGUUGUGAAAUGUUGGGUUAAGUCCCGCAACGAGCGCAACCCUUAUCCUUUGUUGCCAGCGGUUCGGCCGGGAACUCAAAGGAGACUGCCAGUGAUAAACUGGAGGAAGGUGGGGAUGACGUCAAGUCAUCAUGGCCCUUACGACCAGGGCUACACACGUGCUACAAUGGCAUAUACAAAGAGAAGCGACCUCGCGAGAGCAAGCGGACCUCAUAAAGUAUGUCGUAGUCCGGAUUGGAGUCUGCAACUCGACUCCAUGAAGUCGGAAUCGCUAGUAAUCGUAGAUCAGAAUGCUACGGUGAAUACGUUCCCGGGCCUUGUACACACCGCCCGUCACACCAUGGGAGUGGGUUGCAAAAGAAGUAGGUAGCUUAACCUUCGGGAGGGCGCUUACCACUUUGUGAUUCAUGACUGGGGUGAAGUCGUAACAAGGUAACCGUAGGGGAACCUGCGGUUGGAUCACCUCCUUA
Molecule: ribosomal RNA, 1540 nt
Filed under: Escherichia coli
Lineage: Bacteria; Pseudomonadati; Pseudomonadota; Gammaproteobacteria; Enterobacterales; Enterobacteriaceae
Also listed under: 7 other names
Description: bacterial SSU rRNA
Rfam family: Bacterial small subunit ribosomal RNA
Source: RNAcentral